This is a long non-coding RNA of Cyprinodon tularosa, 842 nucleotides long. RefSeq lists it as uncharacterized. The record is from RefSeq and is a predicted model, not a curated record. The transcript is spliced from 3 exons. Lineage: Eukaryota; Metazoa; Chordata; Actinopteri; Cyprinodontiformes; Cyprinodontidae.
CUUCAGAUGGAGCUUGUUAGAAUGUCACAGAUUUGAUCUCUUUCGGGUUACGGCAUUAUUUAUUCAGAGCCACAUUACGCUUGUUUUGGCCGACGCAAUGGUACACCAGCAGCAUGAACCUUAUUGGAACUUGGCUGACUGACCGCAUGGACCUGCAGCUUCAUGUUUAUCAACUGAAGAUACUCAUCAGGAUUGUCAAAAAAAAGUACCGUGAUUUCCGUCUUCAAGGAGUGCUGGACUCGACGUUAAACUCUAAGAUGUAUGAGACCGUAAGAAAUCGGCUGACCUUAGAAGAAGCUACGGCUUCGGUGAGGGAAGGAGGGAUGCAAGGCAUUACAAUGAGAGACAGUGAUGAAGACGAUAAUGAUAACUAGAAACAUCUGGUUUCUACUACCAGACUGUCAAAAUGGCAAAAACUCGAGUCUUUUGUUGAGUUCAUGACACAUUUUUCCCUUUUUUUUGGGUCCAUGACCUCAAUAUGUCAAGAAGCUUCUAAGAAACAAGCAGCUGAAGGAAUAUCUCCCCAUUUGACCUUGUUUUUGCAACUGAUUAGAUAAAAAUUCAUGAACAAUUGACUUGUUUCUAUAAUGUAAGAUCCUGAUGUCCAAAGCAAAUAUCUCUGCUGUGGUCCGGUCCCUAUUACUGUCUGUAAGAAGCAUGACUGCUUAAAAACAUUUAGCGACUUUACUGCUAGAGUCAAAGCGACUUUAGCAGCAGAGUCGCUUCGAUUGGUCAUUGUAAAAGCUGACCAUUCCAAUUUUUUUUUUAAAAUGGGAAAUCCAAAAUCAGAAAUCAAACUGUUUAUUUAUUUCCAGAUAAGAUAAAAGAAUAGAAAAAUAAGA